Molecule: RNA transcript, 7752 nt
Organism: Strigops habroptila (Kakapo)
Lineage: Eukaryota; Metazoa; Chordata; Aves; Psittaciformes; Psittacidae
Gene: CCDC34
Gene name: coiled-coil domain containing 34
Exons: 14
Source: RefSeq, a predicted model, not a curated record
GGGCGCAGGCGCGGAGCGCGCCGCGGCGUCCCGGUUGCUAUGGCGGCGCGUGGAAGAGGGAGGGGGAAGGGCGGCAGCCGCGGGGGCCGCCGGGAGCGUGGUGCUUUGUGUGGUGGCGGGCGGGAGGUGACCGUUAACUGUCGUUAACUGCCGCCUUCUCCCCCAGGUGCCGCCCGCCGGCAUGAGCAGCGGCGCCCGGACCCACGGCAGGAGGAGGAGGAGGGCCGUCCGCCUCGUCCCGCCGUCCUCUGCCAGCUCCGAGGAGCUCCUCAGUCCCUCCGGCAGCUCCCCGCUCUCUUCUGCGUCCUGCCCCAGCUCCCCGAGCGGCGAGGAGGAGGAGGAGCGGGCGGCGGCCUCUCGGCGAGGCGAUAGGAAGGCUGAAGACUCUGACAUAGCAGAAGGGAAAAAAGAGUCACCUUUGAAAGAUAACCUUUCACCAUGGGAAGAAUGGUUCAUUGGAAAAGAGAAGGAACUACGUGCCCGCUUACAAGCUAGAGCUGCAGAGGAAACGAAUGUACAGCUUGAGAAGAUGAAGCAAAAGCUAGAGUGUGAAAGGAGAAAAAGAAGAGCUGAAGAGAAACAUAAGGAGUGGGUCCAAAAAAAAAGAGAGGAGGAAAGAAGGGAAAGGGAACGAAAGCUGAGCAAAGAAAUGGCAGAAAAAGCCACAAGGGAACUAGAAAAGUUGCAGUUACAAGAAAAGGCUGAAGUGAAGUAUAAAGAAUGGUUAAAGAAGAAGAGAGCUGAAGAGGCAGAAAAGAGGAAAAAAGAGAAGGAAAAAGAAAGAGAAAAGGAAGCUGAGCUACAGGAGAAGAAAACAAGAUCAGAGAAGAUCUUUAAGGAAUGGCUACAUAAUGCUAGAAAUAAACCACGCCCUGUUUUAAAUGGUUAUGGCUUUCCAUGUGGGAAGACUACAGGGUGUGCUGAUGGAAAUUUGUAUCCAGUUCCAGCAUAUUGUAACCCCAUUCCUUGGAAACCUGUACAUGUGCCUCCUCCAAAGGAAGACAGUGUUCUUACCAUGAAGAAGAGACCUGUAUCUUGUCAGUCCAAUAACAGGUCCCAGAGUCCCGUGGAAAAAACUGGAGCAAGGAAGACAACCUUGGUGUGGAGGAGGAUCAGUUUACAAAAUAUCUAAACAAGCUGGAUAUAUAGAGAUCCCUGGGAUCUGACAGGGUGCACCUGUGAAUGUUGAGAGAGGUGGCAAUUAUUGUAAGGGUACUCUAAAUUAUCUUUGAGAGGUCAUGAUGAUCAGGAGAAAAUCUUGAGGACUAGAAGAAAGCAAAUGUUAAUUCUAUCUUCAAGAAGGGCAAGAAGAUGCAUCUGGAGAACUACAGGCCAGUCAGCCUCACCUCAGUCCCCUAGAAAGGUGGUGGAUGUGGCAAAGGUGGCCAACAGCUUCCUGGUCUGCAUGAGAGUGAGCAUUGGCCAGCAAGUUGAGGCAAAUGGCCCUUCCCCGUACUCGGCAUUGGUUAAGACCACAUCUGGUGUCCUAUUCCCAUCCUGGGCACCCCAAAAGCCACAUGGACAUAGUAAAGCAAGCUCAGUGAAGGGCCACAAAGAUGACUAAGGGAUUGCAGCAUUUGACAGAAAAAAAGAAGUUGAGAGAGUUGGGAAUGUUCAGCAUGGAGAGAAAGCUCAGAAGAGAUCUUACCAAUAUCUGUAAAUACCUGAUGGGUGGAGAGAGAGAGCAGACCAUUCUCUGUAGGGCCCAGUGACAGGAGAAGAGGUAAUGGGCACAAAUUAAAAUACAGGAAAUUCCAUUUAAACAUGAGACAGAAUUUUUUAAAGUGAGAGUGAUCAAACCCUGGACCAGGUCGCCCAGAGUUCCCAUCUUUGGAGACACUCUAGUGUAACCGGCUAUAGAUGGCCCAGUUUUAAACAAGCGAGCUGGACUAGGCGAUUUCCAGAGGUCCUUUCCAAUCUCAGCCGUUCUAUGAUUAGCGUGUAAAGGAGAGAGCAGAAAGAAAUAAGGCUUUGUCCCUGUUAUCAUAGUUGUAUCACUUUAAGAAUCUAUUAUUAUCCUUUAAAAGUUACACAAUCUUAAAAAGUAUAUGACCUAUUACAAAAUUUAAAUGGUUACAAAAAAACCCCCAACAAACCACCAACCACUAAGGCACAUUCUGGCAUGUAAGUAUUCUGAUAUAUUGGCUCUGCUUUGAACGUUAAUAAUCAAUGUAAAUUUCUUCAGGGCAAAUAGUAAAAAAUGCUUAAUUAUCUUGUGUCAGUUUUCUACUUAAAGUGUUACUUCUACUUUUACUUUGAGUGAAUCAGUUUAUACAAUAUGCCUAUGACUGUUCUUGCUAGAUAAUGCCAAAUAAGACCACAACAUCUCACAGUACUUCAUGUUAAUAGAUGAUUCAGUUUGUGUUUGUCAGUAAUUUAUGGUAUGAAUUAGUGUCAAGUCUCACAUAUUUAUGCUUUCACAAAGUACUUCACAUUCAUGUGUUGUUAAAGCAAUGCAAAGGACAUUAAACGAUUGAGUUUAAUUUUUCAUUUUACACUGUACAGUCAUGAACUAUUCUUCAUCAGAAAAAGAAAGAAAAACGUUUUGUAAAGCAAUGUAUGAAUCUUCAUUAAGUCUAUCAUUUUACUAUAAUAGUGGCUAAAAAUAACUAAAAUUGGGACUGCUGUGUACUACAGAUUUAAAUACAAGUAGAAGCAUAUUUUAAUACUUGAAGGUGAGUCGUUUAAGCUGACAAAAUAAAAAAAAGCAAGUAUGAGAAUACCAGUAUAUUCAUCAGUUUAGCACAUACGGUGGGUGCACAAGCUGAUUUGAUGUAUGUCAUUUCUACUGUUGCUAAAAUAUCUAGGCUCACAGUGUCCGUGGUGGGUAAUUUCAUGUUGCUUCUGUAACAAUGUGUAAAUCAAGCGCCAAACAUUUAUGAAUAUGUAAUAUACAACAUGGGUUAUCAUUAUAUUGGUUGACGAAUGUCUGUUAAGAGUACCUGCCUUGCUGCAGCCUAAUAUUUGUCAUAGGGCAUACAGAGUAAAAACUGUUUAUUUUUAAUGUUGUGUUUAUUUAACAGCUUAUUUUCCUAUUUAUUCUAAUACGUAAAUAAAGACACCUAACUCAGCUCUUACAAAAGGCAAUAAAAAAUCCUAGCAAGGCCACUGCCAUGAUUUACUAGAAUGUUCUCUUAAUGCUGUUUACAGGUUAUUUCCAUAUUCUAGAGUAUAUAAAGCCUUUGGUUCACUAAAGUUUGUUUGUUUUGUUGGGUUUUUUUUUUUUUGGUUUUUUUUUAAAGGCAGUAGGUUAUUUUAAUGGCUUAUGCACUAUUCUGUGUGUUUAUUGGACAUUAAUUUUACUAUGCACACUUAGAAGAAGUCUGGACUCCAUAAAAUACGUCAAGUGUCAAACUGUUUCUGUUAAGUAGGAGAACAUGGGCUUCACAGAAGUAGUUCGCACAUUAUCUUCAGGCUGUAGAACUCCAUGCCUGGGUUUUUCUAUAAGGACCUCUGCAGCGGAUUGGUAUGAAACUGGUGGAUUAAUGGAUUAGUUGUUAUUCUCUCCAUCUGACCUUGCUGUGUGGAGGUGUCUUAUGAGAUUCAGAAGUUUGACAGUUGUGUAAGCUACCAGAAGCUCAUUAGUGUUUAGAUAAAGGAAGAGUACUUUACUGUAAGGUCAGUUUUGGGGACGGCUAGUUUACAAGGUUUCCUGUGACUCUGGUUUAGUUGAAAAGCCAUAUACUAUCAUGUUAGUAUUUUAUCUAGUAAGUUUUUUGAAAUAGUAUGUGGCCACCAAUAAGGUGUGUUGAUGUAAUUAUCUCAGUGUAUGUUUAUAACUUUGUAUUUGUUUUAGCAUUUAUUUACUUGUAGUGGCAUAAAAUGGCCUGUUGUGUGAAGACAGGCAUUGAUAGCAUUUAUAUUAACAGAGUAUGAAAGAAUCUGUGGCUUGAUUCUGCUUUAACACAUUGCCGACAACAUUUGUAUUGGCUUGAACAGUGGCAAAUGGCAAUUUAACAAGGGUUCCUAUGCUAUCCCAAGUAGAGUUGCCCUUCAGGAUUGCAAACGUGUGUUUGGAUCGGGAAUGGGAAUAUAGCAGUAAAUGUUGAAAUCUAGUAGGUUUCUUUCAAAUGGCUCAGCCAGAAUAAUCAAACUGGGUACUUACUUUAGAGAUUUUAGAAAUUACUAGUAAAUAUCUAAAGCCAUUAUUCUUUUUUUUCUCCCAAUCAGAGAUAGUGUUAUUUUUUCUCCACCAAAUUUUCCGUGGAAAGGUUUAUCUUGUCUUCAGAAUUAGAACAAAAUUUUACUUGAGACAGCUAGCUUUAAGUGGACUUACAACCCCUAAAAUAGCAGCUUUAAAAUGAGGCUUGUUGUAGCUUAUCCAUAGCAUUGUAAAUGCAGUUCUGUCCUAACUAAAUUACAAAUAAGGUUAAGGCAAGAGAACUCAUGAGUGUACGUAUUGGCUCCGAUUCAGCAUAAGGGUUUUGCUGAGCUAAGAGGACAAAUAUUGUUUGGAUUUUUUCCAACAGGAUAUCAGUCACACAAUAAAAUGGCCUUGUAAUUUAAGCUUGUAUGCUACAGAAAGCUAGAAUUUCAUGCUGUUGUGGCAAAUAAUUAAUUUUCACCAUUCUUUUUCAGAUGUUAGAAACAUAAAAUCUUAACACUUUGUUGUAGCUUAAACAGCAUUCUGUAGUCUUUUAUUAAGUUCUCUCCUGGAUUGCCCUGCUCAUGAAACUUCACAGCAGAUCAAGUUGCAGAAUCUCAAAUUGCUGGCUAGAAAUAAUCUAAGGUCUUGCAUCUUGAUGUCCAUGCUGCUAAAAUAAUAUGAGACUCAACCUCAGCAUAUUUUGUCCCCUUGUUUUUGCAAAACUUCAGGUUGUAAGAUUUCAUAGAACACUUCAAAAUCCUGGCUGUUGCGUCCUUCUAGGAUUCACAACCUUUCCUCCUCUCCAUCUGCCAGUCAUAAAUAGAGUGCCACGUUCAACCUCACUGUGAAGGAUUACAUCUCCUAUGAGCUUUUACUGGUUUUGAAAAUUACUGUGUAGGUGCUGUGUAAAGUAGCAUGACUUUCCAGUAAUUGACAUUGGAUCUUCACACAGAUGUUUCAGGGUUGAAAGUCUACAAGCAGUAAAGUGGGCCAAAAGAAGUCCUAAAAGAGCAUAUCAUGAGUAAGAAGUCAUUAUUAUUUGUAGACAGCAUUGCAUUCUUAGGAAGUAGCCCAGUUAAUGUAACAUAAUGCAACUUCACUGCUGGGAGUUCUGUUACUGGUUUGGUGUGGAACCAACGCUUCACCCGAACCUAAUAACUGCAUCAAAUUCUAAUAAUGUCCUUGCUGGUGUAAUGUUUAAUUAUAAAAAUAAUUUCUUAAUUUAUGAUUUUGAAAACCAAAGUGAAGAACAGCCAGUAGUCCUGAUACAAUUUUCAUUGGGAGAUUUUUAUGAGUAAAUAUGGCAGAUUUCACACUUCAUUGGUGUGGUCAGAAGGUGAGGGUGCCAGACUGCUAUCCCCUGGGCAACAUCAUGAGCUGUGUUUAAACUCAGUUACCAAAAGGAAAUCUGAGCACCCUGAUCAAGUAAAGCAUAUAAACACUUGAUUAACUUGAAAUGUGUUAGGGAGAUCAUUGAUAAAGCAGGGCUAAAGCAGUCACGCUUUCCUGGAUUUGAGGCCCAGGAUCUAAAGCCUAUUCAGUUAGCAUAGCCUCCAUUUCAUAGAGAACAUUAUAUCCAUGUUUUUACAUGUGUAGCUCAUUUUAUAAUGACGUAUUAGACAAUUCUCUAAAACCGUAGUUAAGUGAGAGUAAAUUUUUGCAAAAUGUGAAGGCUUAUUCUUAAUAUCUGGACUUAAAUGUUUUCUUGGUCUAACUUAGUGACUUAAGCAGGACAAUUGCAAAUACUUAAUUCAAAUUUGAAUUUACAGAAAGCUGGCAGAGUGGGUGAUUUGAAAAGCAGUAUACUUGAAGUUCUUAAUACCAAAAUCUAUUGAGCUGUGCUGUGACCAGAUGCAAGGGUGUAUUCAUUUACGUUUAUGAAAUCAUUACAGAGGACUCAGGCUUUAGUUUCUUUUACUGAAGUUGCAACUGAAAUGAUUUCAAUAGUAUUAGCGCUAAACAAUGAUAAGUGGUUAGCCCAGGUAGAUAAAUAUCAUAAUAGGUGGUUUUGUGUAUAGGUUCUGGGGAAGAUGGGUCUCUGACUUUCACAUGUAAUUAAUUUCAAUACGCAAGGUUGUGUGUUUUGGGAUCAAGGUAACAAGUUGCUAAUAAGUAACCCAGCAAUGCCAAAAUGUUAAUAGAUGCUAGAAUGUUUUCUCUGUAACUAGUGUGACUAAAAUAGAAAAUCCCUACAAGUUUUAUUAUACAAUGCCACUGUAUAUGGUUGUACAGGUAUGAAACCCAUAAUGUAUAGGUUCUUUUUAUUAAGAUGUUGAUCGGGAUAAGAAGAAAGCUUUUCAAUUUCCCCUUUAUACUGACGUGUGUGCGUUCAUCUUUAAAUAACAGUUACUGAAAGCUGUGUAGAAUAUUUAUCAGUACCCAGGAGGAAUGCAAGAUGACUCUCUCAUGCCUGAAUUAAAGAGCCCUUCAAAGAUACACACUUCAGCCUUCGCUAACAAAACUGUGAUCAAGUUAUAGGGGAUGGGUCCCAGGAAUUCCUGUGUUGUUCUUGCUAAGCAAAUGCACUGGUUUAAAGGGCUAACAUGAGUGGGUUUAUUUCUGCUGUUCACAAGUGUUCUCUCUCUCUGUUAGGAUGUCCGUUCAGUUGAGCAUAGCUGACAGCACGUGGAGUUAGGCAAUGGCAAAUGUAUAAAAGGACAUGUUGGAAAAAAAGAUUUCCAUACCAGGUAUAACUGCCAGGGAUGUGGGACACAAGGAUGAAAGGCAGAUGGCAACUGAGGCUGCAGCUGUGAAUGGGCAGAAUAUGGUUACUCACCUGAAUACCCAUGGGAGGAAGGAGUAGAAAUCACUUAGUCACAUUUCUGCAAAAUAACAUUUUGCAGUGUUAAUACCAAAAGCAUUAUGAACGCUGCCUGCAGAAGAUAAAGUUCAAGAUGGUGGAACAGUAGGCUGGUACUUACAUCAUCUGGGCUCAGCCUGCUGUAAGUCCACACCUUCUUGUCAAAGUAGAUAAAUGGAUGGCUUUUGCUAGGCUGGAACUGCUGCACAACUCUGCUCCUGGAAUGGACUGCCCUGAUCCCAGUGCUGAGUGUGAGUGCUGUUUCUAGAAUGCUCUCCAGCGAUGGGUAUCUGUAAGAAUGUUGGAGGGAUAUUUCUACGUUACCUGUCAUGUUGGCCCAGGAGUCCUCCAGUGACAUAAAUGAUGUGGAAAGCCUGUUUCAAAGAAGAUGUUCCAAAACCAGAGCUGGCAGCUGCAAAGACCAAGCUUGCAAAACUGGUGGUGUCCUUUAUGGCCACACAUACCAUCUCCAGAAGACUAUGCUGUGAAUAGUUGUUUCCCUCUUGGGAUGAUGGGAGGAGGAAGACACACUCCACCUCAGCUUUUCAAGGCAUAGGAACACGUGGCGUAGCAUGGAAAAACCUCAGCUGGAUGUCUCUGGCAUUGCAGUUCAAGAGGAUGUGGACCAGUUGGAAAGAGCCCAAGGAGGAGCAUUGAGCAUAAUUAGGGGUCUUGGAUAUGACCAAGGAGGACCAUUUCCAGAUCUCUCCACUGGCUCUGGGUAACCCAGAUAUCGGAGUAAACAAUAAACUGACCCAACCAGCAGACAGCCCCAUGGGAAGCAGAGGUUUGGCAAAGACUGACUGAUGUAGCAUGAAAACAACAGAACGCUUUUUAAAUGAAUAAAGUAAACAACAUUGUGAAA